GCCUGAGUGCCUCAGUCGGUUGAGGGUCCGACUUCGGCUCGGGUCAUGAUCUCACGGUUCGUGGGUUCGAGCCCCGCGUCAGGCU
Felis catus (domestic cat) is the source of this 85-nucleotide non-coding RNA. Lineage: Eukaryota; Metazoa; Chordata; Mammalia; Carnivora; Felidae. The record is from Rfam.